RNAcentral lists this ribosomal RNA (725 nucleotides) under uncultured organism. Its description in RNAcentral is "bacterial SSU rRNA". It matches the Rfam family "Bacterial small subunit ribosomal RNA", at positions 586 to 1303 of the family's 1533-position model. The record is from RNAcentral.
GGCGUCUUGUGAAAUCCCACGGCUCAACCGUGGAAUUGCAGGGCGAACCAUCGGUCUUGAGGUGGGUAGAGGUCGCCGGAACGUUGGGUGGAGCGGUGAAAUGCGUAGAGAUCCAACGGAACGCCAAUGGUGAAGACAGGCGACUGGGCCCAACCUGACGCUGAGGCACGAAAGCGUGGGGAGCAAACAGGAUUAGAUACCCUGGUAGUCCACGCCGUAAACGAUGCGCACUUGGUCGGUGGGGUGUUCACGCCCUGCCGGCCGGAGAGAAAUUGUUAAGUGCGCCGCCUGGGGACUACGGUCGCAAGGCUAAAACUCAAAGGAAUUGACGGGGGCUCACACAAGCGGUGGAGCAUGUUGCUUAAUUCGAAGCAACGCGAAGAACCUUACCUGGGCUUGACAUGCACGGAUUAGCUCUUGGAAACAUGAGUGACGCGGCUUGCCGUGGAACGUGCACAGGUGCUGCAUGGCUGUCGUCAGCUCGUGCUGUGAAGUGUCGGGUUAAGUCCCUUAACGAGCGCAACCCUUAUCGCUAGUUGCCAGCGCGUCAUGGCGGGGACUCUAGCGAGACUGCCGGUGUCAAACCGGAGGAAGGUGGGGAUGACGUCAAGUCCUCAUGGCCCUUACGCCCAGGGAUGCAAACGUGCUACAAUGGCGUGUACAGAGCGAUGCGAGGCCGCGAGGCGGAGCAAAUCGCAAAAAGCACGCCCCAGUUCGGAUUGCAG